AUGUUUCCCGAGAGAGACUGCCUUCUCUCAGGCCAGCAGUCUUAUACUUAUAGUCGACUGCUCUAUGAUGAUCUGACCUCUUUCCUGGGCUCUGCUUGCUCGUCUAUGCUUCGACCAAUUCAGUCAAAAUCGAAAAAACGAUGUUUCCUUGAAAAAGUCUAA
Molecule: ribosomal RNA, 162 nt
Filed under: Triticum aestivum (bread wheat)
Lineage: Eukaryota; Viridiplantae; Streptophyta; Magnoliopsida; Poales; Poaceae
Description: partial small subunit ribosomal RNA
Source: RNAcentral